UACGUAGGGUGCAAGCGUUGUCCGGAAUUAUUGGGCGUAAAGAGCUCGUAGGCGGUUUGUUGCGUCGGCUGUGAAAUCCCGAGGCUCAACCUCGGGUCUGCAGUCGAUACGAGCAAACUAGAGUGUUGCAGGGGAGACUGGAAUUCCUGGUGUAGCGGUGAAAUGCGCAGAUAUCAGGAGGAACACCGGUGGCGAAGGCGGGUCUCUGGGCAACAACUGACGUGAGACGCGAAAGCGUGGGGAGCGAACAGG
This 252-nucleotide ribosomal RNA is filed under the name uncultured bacterium. Its description in RNAcentral is "partial 16S ribosomal RNA". It matches the Rfam family "Bacterial small subunit ribosomal RNA", at positions 524 to 776 of the family's 1533-position model. The record is from RNAcentral.